Molecule: long non-coding RNA, 14226 nt
Organism: Hylaeus anthracinus
Lineage: Eukaryota; Metazoa; Arthropoda; Insecta; Hymenoptera; Colletidae
Exons: 2
Source: RefSeq, a predicted model, not a curated record
UAAAGUAUUCGAAUACUAAUAGUUGAAUAGUAAGAUUUCAAAAAUAAUGUUCGAAUAGUAAUAUCACAAUAAUGAUAAUUCGAGUGUAAUUCAAUAAUGACAGUCGAAUGGUCAUAUUUGAAUAGUAAUAUUUAAAUAACGAUAUUCGAAUAUUGGUAUUUGAAUGUUAAUAUUGAAAUAAUAAUAAUUAAACAGAGAUAUUUAAAUAUCAAUAUUCGAAUGGUAAUAUUGGAAUAAUAAUAUUCGAACACAGAUAAUCAAGUACAGUGGGUGUAGAAAGUAUUCGUACAUCGAUCAAUUUCCAAAAAAACUAUGUCAAAUUGUAGUUUACUAACUUACUUUUUAUAAACAAUGACAUCCUACAUAUUCUCGGAAAUCUCUAGAAUAGAUAGAGUACAAAGAAAAAAAAUAGCUAUUUAUGUAAGUUGCGAAAUUAACAGGAAAAAGACAAUUAAUCGAUAAAAAUACUGAAGCAAUAAGUAUUCACACAACUGUUUAAUUUUUAAGACUUCAUUAAAAAAAAGAAGAAAUUUACAUUAAUUUAAAUAACAUUAAUUUAUAUAUAUUUAAUAUAUAUGUUAUUACCGCACAACUGUUUAAUUUUUAAGAGUUAAUUUAAAAAAAAAAAAAGAAAUUUACAUUAAUUUAUAAGUAUAUAAUACUUUCUUCGUGGGAUUUCCUUUUGAUUUUAUAAUCAUUAUAAUCAUCUUCUAAGCAUUAAAUUAACUGAAUUAUUAGUUAUUCGAAGUGGGAUCUUUUUCCAUUUCACUAUUAGAGCCAUCUGUAAAAGUACUUUCCUAGAAAUUUGAUGUUUUCUAAUUCGUACGUAGCAAUAAACUAAUGUGUUUACGUUACAAACUCUACUAUAAAUGGUUCGUCAUAAGAAUUGUACAAAAACUUAUUGCUUCUAUACUUUUACCGACUUUUCGCAUUUUUUUGUUAAUUUCACAAAUUAUAUUAACUAGCAAAUGUUGUUUGGACUAUAUCUAUCUAUAUCUAUCUUAUAGAUUUCCAAGAUUAUGUAAUAUAUCAUUGAUUAUAAAAAAAGAAGUUAAGAAACUACAAUUUCCUCCAAAUUUUUGGGGGAAAUUGAUCGGUGUACGAAUACAUUCUACACCCACUGUAUAAAUAUUCAAACAGUAUUAUUCAAGUAAUAGCAUUCAAAUACUGGUAUCGAACUAGCGAUAAUCCAAUAGAAACCUAAAAUAGUGCCACUGGAAUAGUGAUAUUGAAUCAAAAAUAUUCAAAGUAUUCUAUUUGAAUAAUAAUAUUCCAAUACCAAUAUCCAAUUACACAAAUAUUAAAAUUUCUAACCCAUAUCCUAAUGCCCAGAAAAUAUUCCAAAGUCAAAUAAUUGAAAUACUCUUAUCCCUGGAUCGACCACGAAAGUUCUCCAAAGCACAUCCUCGGAGUCCUUCGUGAUGGACGUUCUCCGUUGCGACGUGGAACGCGGAAGCCCCAUCUAGCAUUCCGCGAGCUUGCUAUUAACCACGGGCAGGUCAUUAUUCUAGAGAACGAGGUGACGGCGGUGGUGGCCGUGUGGUAGUUUCCCACUCAAAAUGCAAAAACCCGAACGACAGGGCGACGUGGGAGGGGGUAACGGUGAUGCAUGCACCGGGUAACCGAACGUCCCGACGCCGAAGAAACCGUGGUGGGGAAACUUGUGUCUGACGCCACACCACGCACACCUCUACCCCAAGCUUAGUCUAGCCUUAAUAGUCAUCCACUGGAAGCCGAAGACGAAGAGCGAGCUACGAGGACCAGUCUCGGGAUAAAACGUGUUUCAUCUCGCCCUGCCGCUUCGACUCUACUUCUUUCUACGAUUUUCUCAGCGACACUGCUUUAUUUCGUGCUACGGUCGCUCUUGUGAAGUGUUUGCGUCUUGGUCGUGCCAGUGAAACAAAGUGAAACAGUGUUGGUUGACAGUUGGGGCUGCCUUCGAUCGGAUCCGUUCGUUUGAAACUCGUUUCGAACCCGGUUCGAUGGAAGUGCAGCCGCGUUUGAACUGGACACGUCCAACUUCUGAGCGGCACGGAGCGUCGCGAAGGUGGUGUUUCGAUUCGUGCUCUUACGAUGAGUUCUUCGCGGUGUCUACGGUGCGGAAUUUCACGCAGAAAGCGAUCAGUGACAGUUUCGCCGGGCAAAAUUCAGCGUGGAAUCUCGCGAUUCGUGCGCAGGAGUGAAUAUAUAGUUACUUUAUAAUUGUACAAAACGAGGGUUCGACGCAAUUACGGUUUAUAACAAGGUGCGAUUGUUCACCGAGCUACGGGACCCCGUACGCAAAUGUAACGCAAUAUCGUAUGAGUAGAAUUUCUUUUUUUAAGAGGAAUGAUUCAUGUAUUGUCUAGAACGUGGCGUUGUUUAUUGUACUUGGUCCCGGUUACUCAGGUGUGCGUAUGACACAGAAACUGUGAUACACGUCGUUCUCGAGGAUGACACACAAAUUUUAUUGGAUGAUUCACGGACGAUUGGAGUGGUCAUGUACAGAAAUAAAAAUAAAAUCGCCAGACAACGUUUAGCCAAACGUGCUUGUCCCUGACCUUCUUCUUCCCCCUUUCAAUUCUAAUUUGUCCCAAUUUUUCUCCUUUCAGGCACUGUUGUCUCCUUCAUUUCUUCUUCUUCUUCUUCAGCUGCCAGUGAUUCAUGUGUUUUCGUUUGAACAAUUAAUUUAACGAUGGGUGACUAAUUACAAUUAUUAUAAACGACAUGCCCUCCAAGACUGUUUUUCGAAUUUCGUGGGAUUUGGGAAUUACAAUAAUUGCAACAACUGUGUUCUGUUUCAAAUAAAUUGCAUUUCGAUGGCAUUAAUUUAAUUGGGGUACAAAUAAGAUUGAAAAUAGAUUUUUGUACUCUUUGAAGUUUUUAAGAGGUUGUGUGGGAAUAAUUGAAAUAGUAAUACAGGAAUGUUUACAAGGUGCAGAGAAAUCCGUGAGUUCGAGGGGUACCCUUUAUUGCAUGAACUUUAUUUAAUUUAUCAAGGAGAAAUUAUUUUUAGAUUAUUCAUACAUCUGUGAAGUAUAUAAUUCUCACUCUGAACAGUAGUAAGGAUUAUUUUUAUUAAAUAAAAUUAUUAUUACUAACAAUGGCUAAAUUUGUAGAAAUAUUGGAUGAAAUUAUACAAUUUUUUGAAUGAAAUUUACAAAAACGUUUUUAUUUUUUGUCUUACAUAUGCAAUAAAGGGUAAACGUGAUACUCCAAGUAGAAAUGGGCAAAAUUUUCAUCGAGGUACAAAAUUUCGAAUAAAUAAUUGAAGAUAAACAAUUCAGUUGCAAUCUACAUUAUUAUUGACUCGACCAGUAAAACUGCAUCAUCUAGUUGCAACUAUUUACCUACUUAAAAAUUGCACUGUUGUAUUAAUUCUACCCAUAGACAGUAUAAUUCAAACGUCUCAAAGUAUUACAUUUUUGAAAAAUAAUUAAGAAAACUAAUUUUUCAAAAACUAUAUAACGUAAUAGAGUUGUUAAUGACUCAUCUAAAGACUCGAUGCUACUAUAUGUAACUAAUCUUUAACAGAAUCUAAUCAUGGCUCGGAUUGAGUAGAAUUGAUGUAAACAAAAAUCUUAAAAUAUGAAAUUCAGAAGAAUAAUAAAUAAAACAAAGGAUUGAACAAAUGCGAAUAUAUCGUUGUAUUUUUCAUUCGUCAUUUGAGAUUCGAAUAAAAUACUGCCCAUGUCUGCUCGAGAGUUCCCUCGAAACUUGGUUUGCGCGGAGAGUCGAGCUGCGGAUUUACCAGAAAUAAUUCCUUCCCGCCUUCCAGAGUGCGCUGACACGCGCUCCGCCGUAUUAUUUCUGGCAUGGUUGAAUCACUGGCAGCUGGGACGGCCGAAAUAGUCGGCUUGGUCGGCCUGCUCCCUCCUGAGACUGACGAACGACGACGUCGACGAGUCUCGGUGGGGGUGGGUCUCGAGGAUCGAAGACGAAGGUGAGCCACGGAAAAGAACCUCCGUCGGGAUGAAUCACCGCGUUCUUUUUCGAUACCCCUUGACAGAUGCUUCGGAUCGCCGCUUGGCAGUUGUCUUCGUGGCUUCAGGUGGUCGUUUCUUCAAGGUCGUUGUCAUCCCAACGUCGAGGAAUCGAACGCCAUUCCCUCGAAUCGCGAUACUCGAUGUUUUCGUUACGAAAUUAAUAUUGUACGUCCUCGAGUUACGCAGAUUUAUAGAUCCCUAUGUUUGCUAUUUAUGUAUGCAUACAGAGUGUGUAUAUAUAUCCAUGUGUUCAGAUAUUAAAUGCAGUAGAAGAUCGAUUAUCGAAAUUAAGGAGGAGGCAAAAUAUUUUUAAAGAAUAAAGAAUAAGUCUUACUUACAAUGUAUUUUGUUUAUCGUAAUAUAAAAUUAAAUUGUUAAACUAAAAUUUCCAUGUUUGGUAAGUUUGGAAAUAAACAAGAUGCUUGGUACAAUAUAGAUGUGUUGUGUUAUUGAUUAAUAAUUUUAUCGUAAAUGAAGUUUUAUAUAUUAACAUCUUUCUUGUUCCUGAAUUUUGAGUACUCUUCAGAAAAUCUACCAGUAUAUAAUUUUCUUCGAAAAUCAUUAAACUCGUUUACGUCCAAUUAAUAUUUUUUCUGAGUUUUCAUGUAAUUCCUAAAAAAAUUGAAAUUUGAACAGCUGCUAUAAAUUGUGUUCAUUCAGUUACAAUAUCGAACAAUUUAGAGUUAACGUUAGAGUGACCUAUCUUGUUUCUUUCAAUAAUCAGUCUUCUCUUUAAUCGACGUUCUACUGUUCAAGUUUAGAUUUCUAUGACAAAGGAUUUGUUUAACUUUCACCCAUUUUUGCAAGGAAGAUUAUUUAUUAAAUCUAUUGUACGGAGAAAGAAAGAUCAGUGUUGCAAGGAGAUACAAACCAUACAGACAUUUCAAUCAGCUUUUCUAAAGUCUGCAGUUAAUCAUUUUUGUAAGGACAAAUUGCACGACUUUAUCCCUUCCACUCAUGAUACUUUUUAACUCAGAAAUAAUCUUUCCUUCUUCCAACAAUAUAUCGUAUUAAUCCAAUCCACUUUACACAGAAAUCUGUGCAAGUCGAGGACUCACUGUACCUUAUUCUACAAGCUCCAAUCUCCUAACUGUUACCUGACAUAUAAUAUUUAAUUUAAUAUAAAUAACAUUAACGCCUAAAUAUUUAUGCAAAAUCAGUGUAACGUUAUACUUUCACACAUUGUAUAAUAGUUUGCAUAAUUCAAUUAAAUUUCUUGGCAGUUCGUGUAACGUAUCUUAAUUUAAUUUUCUAACACACGAUUUUAUUAUUAUUCUGAAAUGUAGUUAAUAAUAUCCUAAUACUACACUACCUUGACAUUACUACAUAGAAGUCUAUUAAACUUUCUACGAAAUGUUCUGUUUGUUUAUCAAUUUAACCUAAAGCACUUUACUGUUACAGAAUCUGAGGCACCAUCUUGAUAGUCGACACUUCAGGUAACACGAAUCGUGCAAUGUCGAUUGAAACUUCGCCUCUCAUUCUGUCUAAUCACUCUGGCAUCUCGAAAUCAUUAGCCAGGACCAAGGAGGGUCGUAAUCGCUUCAACGGUUUCGCUUAAUAGAUCCUGAUCUCAUACGGCAGGGAUUGUACGCUUGAAAUAAAUUUAAUAAGCCUCGAAGACAGAUGGAACGACGAUGUAAGUUUUCUUGGUUCCUACCCAGCCAGCCCCAAUGCGACGUAUCUUUAUUUAUGGCCAACGCGAACGUGCCAGGUGUUCUGAUACAUUCUUUCUUCUGCCACGAUCUCGCAAUUAACGCUUUGUUGAUGGGGAGGCGUGCUGCUCGACAAAGGUGAUCGACAUACUAGUUAUGAUUCUCAUUACAAUUCGACCUACAUUAUACGAAAUAAUAUACGGAGAAUUGUAUAACAGCUACAUCGAAUUGAGUACGUGCUCUAAAAUAAAUGAGAUAGGUAUCAUUAGAAAGAUAGUUGCCUGGAAAUGGGUAUUUUGGGAAUUCCAAGUCAUCCCCACUUUAAAAAGAUAGAUAGUACUUGUAGAAAUUAAUUCUGUGCGAUUUUUGAAUAAAUUUAUGAUUUAUUUAUAAAGGAAAACCAACAAAAAUAAUUUUUAAGUUGAUUUGUAAUUUGUUAGAAGAAUGACUAUGGGUGAAAUUUCAAAUUGAGAUAGUUUAUAUAUUUAGAUUCUUUGUAAUGGAAAUUAGACUGAGGACUUGGAAGGCUGUGGUAACGUAUCAAAUUCAUGAGUAAAUAUUUCUAUUUAAACCGUAUUUUUAUGUAUGCGAAUAUAAAGGCACAGAAUUAAUUUCUAGGCUUAAUAGAUUCUUUUAAAAUGAUACACAGAUCUAUAACGAUAUUUAUUUGAAGAAGGAGAUUAAAUAGAAAAGAAAUGUAAUGAAAGGUCAAAGAAAGUAUUAAUAUAGUAACCGAUGCAAAAGUUUCAGUUUAGUUGUGCUACUUUAGGUUAGAAAGGAUUAAGAUUCUACUACCAGUUCUAGUUGCUAGAUAGCUAGAUUGUUCAGGACAGAAUCCAAUUAAGAUUUUGCGCGAUGCUCGACAGAAAAGGGGUCGUAUUGGCCUACGAAAACGUGCUUAAUUACGACGACCCGAUCCGUUCUACCCCCCUUUCGCAAUUAAUCAGACGAACGGCCGAGAUUAACGCGCCGGAUUCACGGUCUAAUUUUGCGUUGGGUCGUAACGGUGUAGAAUGAUGAAGUACUGCAAGAAGCUACGAAGAGUGGCACUGAUUGAUGUUCACGAUGUAAGAGAAAUCUGUCAUUAUGUUCAUAAAUUGCCUUUUCGUUAAAGCAUCGAUAUUAGUCACGAGUCCAUGCUACACGAAAUCUUGCUCGAUAGUGAAGUAACCUUUCUCAAAAAUUAUUGAUCAGUUUAAACUGAAUUAUUUAAAUAUUCGUCUAAUAUGUCUUUUUACAUUUGUACAUAUUUUUCUAUAGUUAAUUGUCUAUAAUUUCACAUAGCUUUGAAGUCAUUAUUUGCAUUUUUGAAGUUUGAUUCAAUCCUACUAUCGAUAUGUAUUGAUUGUGAUUUUUGAACAAUAGUGUUGUUUAUAAACAAGCUAUUUUAUUUAUUGAAUAGCGUUUAUAUAAACUAUAAAUAUGAAUAUUAAACGUCCUUAUUGUGCACAUAAUUUCAUUAUAUUUAAAAUAAAUAUUUCGUCCUGUUCGGUAUGACGAUAUAUAUACAUAAUUUACAAAUAUAAAUGGAACAAGAAAAAAAUAAAAGAAAGAUCGUUAGUUUUUUUAAAUAUAUUUUGUCUCAGUAAAAUGUUAAAUAUAACAUAAUAAUGCAAGACUGGAUUUUAACGGUCUUGCAGAAUAGGUUUUUUGCGAGGCAGUGGUACUGUUACCACGCAUUGAAAUCACUCGCGUGGCGUUCGUGUUAACCCUUUGCACUCCACUUGCCUGGCUACAACGUCGAACAUAAUAUGCAUCACAUUUCAGUUUAAGUAUUAUUCAUGGUAACACAAAGUAAGUCAAUGAAAUGAACGAAUGAAAAUUAAAUUAAGAGCAUUUAUAUAUUUUUGUAGGAAAAAUUCUCAGAUUGCAAGGGUUAAUGUCAUGACUCACGAUUUUAUUAGACAAUAAUUAGCUACAUUAUUAAUUUAAAUUUUGUCAUUUUUAUAAUGCGAGAAAAAUUGUUAUUUUAGCUCACACAAAACGUGUUCGUAAUAUUAUUAAUAUUAAAAAUUAAUUUGAGUGGUACAAAAUUAUAACCAUCAGUGAAAUAAUUUUUUCAGAAUUACCAGUAUGUUAUUUUCCAGUCUAUUCGUUAUAGCGAACAUUGUGUGUUAUAUCUUUCGUGCUCAUUUUUUAUAUACAGUUGUUUUUAGGGACACAAUAAAGACGCUAAAUUAAUAAAUAAACUAAAAUGUUUGAACUACUCAUAAUUUCAAAGAUUUUAAUUCGUAUUAAUAUACACUAGAAGGAAGUCUCGAAGUGUUCGAAAAUGUUUGUUCGUCCAAUUGUUUUGAAGUUACCAAUGAAUAAAUCGGUUUCAUCAACUGAAGAAAUUGUAAUUUUAAGUAUAACGUAACACGAACGUCAACGAUUCUCGUUGAGACACGUUGGGGAACGCUGGAACGUUGUCGUUCCGUUCGCGGAGCAUCGAGUGCUCGUCGAAAUGCGAGCACUUUUUAUGUGCGCCAGUCACGCUGUAGCGUCCAAGAUGAUGGGCUUUUAUUCUGCUUUCUCCACGCUAGAGAGCGUAGACGAGGAGAACGGUUGUCUAGUUUCAAAGUAGCCUGCUUGAAAAUGAUACCCUCCCCUGUUAGAGGCAGGGGGUCUAAUAGGUAAAGAAUCAUGAUCUAUGUAUAGAAUAAAGUACCCUAAUUUAAUCUUCCACACCGUGAAAUGUGGUAAUCUAAACACGAACUCCUACGUGGAAUACUAAUUUCUAUAAACACUCCAAUUCCUACUUUGUAAAGAAUAUAUACAGGUCUGUCUGUCGAAUAUACUAUUCGACGUUUACAAACCAUUUGGAUUUGAAUUUGAAUUUUAGCGGUUUAAGAUCUGGUUUUGUUAACUAAUAAUUCUUUUCCACAUUGCAAUAUUUGUAAACGUGUGGAGUAAAAUACAGAGUGAUGGUGAAGUUAUCUAUUUAUAUCUAACAGGAAGAUAUUAAUGUUAAUUAUUUAGACUACUUUAUCAUUUUCUAAAUGAAUUCGAUAUAAUUCUCCUGUCUUUUAUCAAAAUAGAUAAUAGCAAAUUGUUUCAUAUAUAGUUUCAUAUAUUAAGACCAAUACAGUCAAUAAAUAAAUAAAUAAUUCUUUUAAAGGAGUUUCUUUUAGUUAAUUCUUUUAGUACAUAGAAAUAAAUUAAUAAAUUAAUUUUUAAACCAAUCAUCGAAGCUUUAACUUUACUUCUUUAAUAUAAUUGUUAAUUCCAUGGCAACAGAAUUAUGUAUCUUAUCUUCACUAUUAUCUAUUGGCAACGCAGUAAUUACUAUUUUUGACUUGACAAAGCAACGUAAACAAAUAACAGGUGUCCCUGACAGAAGUGAAAAGUUCAGACAUGAAAUAAUCAUAGCGAUCCGAGUGCAUAAGUCUGCCAAAAGUUAUAAAUAAUUUUGUUUCAAUUUUGCAAAUGAAUAUUAAUAUUUCACUUGUCAUGUUCCUAUUAAUCUUAAAUUCCUUAAGAAUUGUUAACAAAUGUGUCGAUAAUUGGGACAUUGUACAUGACAACGUUAUUAAUUUUCAAAUAUUAUGUACAGAUAUGUUACUGUCAGGUCCGAAAGGAUUAUGUAUUCACACGUCCAAAAGAAUAAUAUAAUAGCAUUAAUUAAAAUUAGUUAUCCUACAAGUACAUCGAGUAUUUAAUCAAGUUACCAAUAAUCUCCAAGUAAAAUUUAAAAUGUCUACUUUAUUUUUCACAAAUCAUCGAGCAAGAAACGAAAACACUGUUUUACAUUUCACAGGCAUAGAUUGUAUCGAAUUUCUAAGCGUCGAAAUUCUAAGCGACCGGCGGCGUGUUUCCGUGGAACAUAUUUAUGGUAAUCUUAUUUAUGCCUCGCGAAUAAAACAAGAAAGUCCUCUCGUAGGAGUGCACGAGAGCCCAACGAAGAGACCCCACGUGAAUUUACCGAGUCUUCGGGGAGUUCUGAACCGGCGGCGACCAAAUAUAGCUGGGUAAUGUAAUACACGUCACGUGGUCAGAAAUAGCUUAAGAAGAGGGCCUAGCCGAGUCUGCACACGGCACUGCGUCCGUCCCUCGUUUUGAAACGAUCCCGAGUACCAGAAGCGAUUGAAGGAAAUACGUUUACCUCUUCACGCUCGUUAAACCAGUUACCGAGAGAAAGGUGAUACUCGGAACAGAAACGAACCAUCGUAAAAGACGAGUAUAUACGUAUAUACAUAUAUGCAUAUGUAUAUGUAUAAACUCCACGGCACAUGGAGGCCAGUGUGACGUCCGAAGAAAAAGAAAAUGAUUUUUCUCUGGCUUCUUUCAAUCUCCUGGUUAAAAAUACAAGUUCAGGAGUAUUCAUGGUCAAAUCAAUAUAUGUCUCAUUAUUAUUUAUUAGUGGUUAUUCAUGGACUUUCAGAGUAGUAUGUUUGUAAAAUUUGGAAGACUACUAUGCAGAUUUCAGGAUGGUCUCAAUGAGUAUGACUGGUAUGAUUUACUUUAUGGUGGUUUCGAUUGUAUAUUUGCAGCUCCUUUUAGUUCAGAAGAAAGCUAAAUUAUACAAUCUGACGUAUCUGAAGGAUUUGUUAUAUUUCCAUGCCUUAGUUAUAAAAGGUAACCUAAUGAUUAUUAAAAUACACGUCACUGAAUUCGUCUCUAUGUUAUCCAUAAUUUUGGUUAUGAAGACAAAUUUUGAUCCAUUUUAAAGAUGCGAAGAAAAUGAAAUUUCGAAAGAUAUACGGAAUAUAAAAAAAAUUAAAUAACUACGCGGUACCCUUCAAGUUAUGCAGCAUUUAUUUGUACUGAUAUUUAUUAAGUUUACCCUGUAUAUUUAUAGUGAACUUAAACCAAAAUAUACACUGCAAUAAUUAAAAUUUCAAUGGACAUCAACUUUUUUGGAAAAUAACAGUUUAAUAAAACAAAAAUAGAAAACUUGAUUAAAUUAUGAACUAACUAGUAGGCAUAACAGUAUUCCUAACGGUGCAGGUGAUAUUAAACAUAAUGGGCAUUUUAAUAGCCAAUAUCCUGCUAUUGUACAUACUCAAUGAAUUACCAAUUUGUGAUAUUUUAUUUUUCUAAUCGUAUUGUAUUUUUGUUAUACUGAAUUCAUACAUUAAAGAAAAGUUUACGUCAAUUGGAAUCUUGAUUAAUACUCUAUAUAUAAUGUAUAUGAUUCUUGAAAUGUUGAUUUAUAAUUUAUAUAAUUAAUUUUUAGAACCAACUUUAAUGGGAUCCUUAAUUCUGAAUAUAUAUUCAUCAUAAUAUAUUCAAAAUAGUUCCAACAGUUAAUUACAUAAAUUACAAGUCAACACUUAAAGUACUACGAAUACUUCUACGACAAUGUAUUCACACGAAGCGAGUCAAUGGCUUCAUCAGUAAAUAAUAAUAAAAACAUUGUUUACGAUGACCACGAAUACCAAUCAAAAUCCUUAUUUCAACCACCAACCCCCACACUAAUACAAUUUUUAAAUUCAAUGUCAUCCUCGUCCAGACGAUGGAAUAGUUCCCAAAAACACGUGGAUUUCUUCCACGUUUUCUUUCUCGAUAUUUCAUUGUCACGCUAAAAGAUAGUUCCUGGCAUCGAGAAUAGGCAUGGUUACAAAUACUUUCGUUACUUCUCGAGCAACCGACAGAUAUCGCGUUUUCUCGCGUUCUGUUAUUUUAGCCGCGAUAAAUCUGCCAAAACGAUUGCAAUGGGAUCGCUGGUUCCCCGUCAGACUUGACGUCUUAUUGUUUGAUCGAUCGUUAGGCUGAUUAGGAAUCCCGCACCCGUGUAACCCAAGACUAUUUUUGUUCCUUCGUCGCGAAGUCCCACCCCGGGUUUCAUAUUAUUUUCGGGGUGGCGGACGCGCGUCGCGAAUUGUUUUACGAGGCGCGAGGUACGUGAGUCACGAGCCACGUUCCGCUUCGAUUCCGUGGUAUACGUUUCGUAAGCAAAACAUAAGAGAAUUUAUGGCAACGUGAGCAUACUAGCUGGAAUUGCUACUUUAUAUCUGCGGUUUGCGCGCUAUUCGUCGAAUCUUAACGGUUCACCUUCAUCGAGAUCGGUUAAAAAUAAAGGGUUUCCAGGAUGGCGUUUCAACAUUUUGCUUUUUGAUAACAUAGCCUGUUUACUUUUCAUGGCAGUGGGUGGCCGUCUAAACGACAUAGUGUCUAACUUUUAUUUACAAUAGAAACUAGGAUAUACUCAGAGUUAGACACGAAUGACGUUAAGAAUAAUAAGAAAUUAACGUUUCAGUAGAUUUGAACUUCGUCAUUGUAACUUGUUUUGUAGGGUAAGACUGUGGAAUUCAGUUAUUUUUAUUCUUAAUUUUAUUUAUGAAUGAAGUUCGUCCUACUCUGGAUAUAAUUCAUAACAUUUUAGUUUUAUAAAAAAACAAAAUCCUAGAAUUCAUUUUGGAAAGUACUUUACUUAAUAAUAUAACAUAAAUAUAAUAUUUCGCAUGUAGGUAUCUUAAUAUUUUCAUCAAUUUAGUAUUGGUAGUUUUUGAAUUUUAUUUCUUUUAAAGUUCUUGAUUUAACACUGGGUAGCAUCAAAAUGUCUACCUAAACAGAUUAGGGCUAGAACUUUAGAGGGUAGUUGUAACGAUGUUAAAAAUUGAACAAAUUUCGAGAUUUUUUUAACCCAUUCAAUAAUCAUUAAAAAAUAAAAAAAUGGGAAAAAGAACACAUUCUUUUUAUGAACGAAUUUUAUUUACUGAGCAUAUAUAUCCCUCAUAAAAGCCAUUUCGGGCCCAAAAUAAGACUGAAAGUUGAUAUCUACUGAUUAAUUUUUAUAAAAUUAACCCUAAUAGAAAUAUGUGAAAAUAAAAUUAAAACAACUCGUGUACACUGUACAAAAAUUUACACAGGGUUGCCCAUCUGUAAUCUGCGCUUCUACAUAGCAGAAAUCGUAUUUAUUUUCACUCGAAUAUAUUCAGGAGUGGUCUUUUCUGCAGGUAAAAUUUCUCGUGCUAGUUAUUAUAUUUACGAAGACGCUAUAUCAAUUUAUUUAUAUAAUUUAAUUUUCCCUGCCAAGAAAUUUGUAUUUUGUGCUUUUCGAUUUUCCUUUCCGCAUUAUGCAAACAAAUAAUGUACAAACAUGCAAGUUUCAUAGAAGCAUAUAGAUCUAUAAUAUAUAUAUCCAGUUGAUACUUGAUCCUUUGAUAUACGCAAAUACCAUUUUGUAUUUCGAGAUUAGAAACUCGCUUAGAAACUAUUUCCUUAAUUAAUCGAACCUGACGAUGUAUCGUGUAAGAUCGUCGAAUCGACAACAAACGAGCCUUGUACGUACUUAAAACAUUCGUUUUUAUUGGCCUUUCCAUUGUACAAUAAUAAAUAAUCAAUUAGUAGAAUGUUAAAAGGUAUCUGCGUGUGUAUAUUUGUGUAACUAUAAAUUUUUUCGUCGGUGUGACUAACUGUAAAUCGUGUCUGGAGUAAUGUAUACACUUAUAUUUAUAUAUAUUAUGUAUUUUGUAAGAUAAAUAUAUAAUUCUUUAUAAUGAACAUCGACACUAAAUCGAACGAGUAAACGAGUCACGUGUUCGUAUAUUGGCGAUGCUUUGACGUUACGCUUGGUUUACUGACAAUUCUCUUCCCUCUCGCGAUUAUUCGCGAUUCUCGCGUGAAACGAACGAUCGCGGUCGUCGAUCGUUCGUCAAUUCUCUCGAUUUGAACUUAUGUACAACAAUGGAAUCGAAAGAAAUUCAUCGAAACGUCCCGACUCGAAGCACCACGUCGGAUAUUUCAAAUUUUCAACGACAAAUUCGACGCUGGUGAACGUCGCCCGGACGGGUCUCGCUCGUGAUUUGCACCUUUGGAUGGAAAGUUUACCUCGUCCGUGCCACGUUCGAUUAGGGCUGCGGCUACUCGAUGAAUUCAGUAUUCGAACAUUUUAUGGGUAUUCGAAUACUACGAAAAAAGUUUGGAUGGUGCUGUUUGAAUAUUACUAUUCGAAUAUUACUUUUGUAUAUCACUUUGAACAGUAGAAUGCGAAUAUUAUUCUUUGAACAUUAAUAUUCAACUAUUGUUUUUCAGAUAAUGCUGUUUGAAUAGUACUAUACGUAUAUCACUUUUUGAAUAUUAAUAUUUCAUUUUCAUUUUUUAGAUAAUGCUGUAUGCUAAUAUCUAUUCGAAUAUCUUUUUAUCCAUAUCAUUAUUCUAGUAUUACUAUUUGAUUAUUACUAGAUUAAUAUUAAGAUUAUAAUAUCAUUUUUUGAACAUUACUGGUUGAAUAUCAUAUUUGAAUAUUAUUAUUUGAACAUUACUUAACGAAUACCAUUUUUUUAAUAUCACUAUUUAAAUAUCAUUUUAUAAAUAAUGCUACUCGAGUAUUAUUUGUAUAUUACUAUUUCAAUACAAAUAUUCUUAUAUCAUUUUCUGAACAUUGCUAUUUGGAUAGCAUUUCUGAAUAUUACUAAUUGAGCCGUACUAUACGAAUAUCAUUUCUCUACUCUUAUUAUGUAAUUAUCAUCAUUUAAAUAUUGCUACAUGAAUAUUAUUAUUCCAAUACCAUUUUAUCAGUAUUAUUAUUCCAAAUCCUGUCACUUUUUGAACAUUACUCUUCGAAUACAAAUAAUUCUUUCAAUAUUACCAUUCGAAUACGAGUAAUAUUAUAAAUAUUACUAGUCGAAUAUCAUAUUUAGAAUAUAUAUUUCCAGCUAAAUAUUCGAAAAACAUUCAGACAG